RNAcentral lists this ribosomal RNA (443 nucleotides) under uncultured bacterium. RNAcentral's name for it is "partial 16S ribosomal RNA". It matches the Rfam family "Bacterial small subunit ribosomal RNA", at positions 338 to 795 of the family's 1533-position model. The record is from RNAcentral.
CCUACGGGAGGCAGCAGUGGGGAAUAUUGGGCAAUGGAGGAAACUCUGACCCAGCAACGCCGCGUGAAUGAUGAAGGUCCUCGGAUUGUAAAGUUCUUUUCUAAGGGAAGAAGAAAGUGACGGUACCUUAGGAAUAAGCCUCGGCUAACUACGUGCCAGCAGCCGCGGUAAUACGUAGGAGGCGAGCGUUAUCCGGAAUGACUGGGCGUAAAGGGUGCGUAGGUGGUGUGGCAAGUUAGUAGCGUAACUCCAAGGCUCAACCUUGGAACUACUACUAAAACUGUUGGACUUGAGUGCAGGAGGGGCAACCGGAAUUCCUGGUGUAGCGGUGGAAUGCGUAGAUAUUAGGAGGAACACCAGUGGCGAAGGCGGGUUGCUGGACUGUAACUGACGCUGAGGCACGAAAGCGUGGGGAGCAAACAGGAUUAGAUACCCCAGUAGUC